UUUUUUUUUUUUUUUUUUUGACCACAUCCUUGACACAUGGAGUUCGAGAAAAUAUCGAUUGAAAGGUUGGCUAACCUUCAGCUGUGUCACUCAGACAGGUCUGUCCGUUUCUCUGGCAGGGUCCCCCAGCUGUGAAUUGGUGGUGCCGGCCUCUGGGUUGAAAUGAGACUUGUAUGUUGGAAGACAUCUAGAGCCAUGUGGAGUGCAAGCAGGCACAGAGUAAUGAUCUCUCAUUUCAGCUGGUCAUGUUUACCUGCUUUGCUGGUUCCCAGGGACCCAUGUUAGGGAUGGUGAGACUCCAGAGAGGAAACCCUCAAGGGGAGUGAGGCGUUUUGUAACCUUCCUCCACUGACUCCGCAAUGCAGAAGGUGACCCUCCAUGAGAAGACGGAAUUUUGUCAAAUUGGAAACUCCAAAUAGCAGUAGAAGUUUGCAGAGAAUUAGCCUGCAGUGGUUUUCAAAUUGUCAUGUGUGGCAGAAUCACCUGGGGAGUUUGUUAAAAAGCAAUCUCUGGGGACCCACCUGCAGUUCUCACUGAACCGACCUGGUGUUGGGGCCAGGCAUUGCUGUGUCCAACAGGUGCUUCAGUGGAUUUUGAUGCAGUGGUCCCUGGACCACCUUUGGAGAUAGUUAUCUGAAGGAAUCUUUUCUCUGUGACUUUCCAGCUUAACUGGAUACUGUCUGGUAAACAUCUGGAAAGGUAAUACUGUCAGUAGACAGGACUAAUGGUUCAGAGAAUGCUUGGCAUAGAGGAAGGAGCCUUGUCUGGGUUUCUUUAUGGCCAGUCCAUCAUUUACCACUUUUCUGGCCCUAGGAAAUUAUGUAAAAUUUGAAAGGUUAAGAACGUAGGAUUAAGGGUUAGUUUUCUUAUCUGUUAAAUAGGCGUGAUAGUAAUCACGUAGCGUAACGGUCAAGAGUAUGAAAUGAAUGUCUCGUGAAAAUAUCUUUAAUAGAUCUUCAGUUGGAGUUAGUAUUCUUUCCUUAUGAUUGAGAAUAGAAAAAUGCAGUGACAUCAGUGAAGAAGAGAUGCUUCUAUAAGCAAAUGUGACUCUACCAAUCAAAAUCAUACUGAGUUUUUUGGGUCUUAAAGAUACAUUUUUAAGAUACUAUGAGGUUCUUAACUUUGAUAUAGGGGCAACAAAACAAAACAUUUAAGUUGCGUCAGUUUCUUAGGCUCCAAAGCUAAAUUGGAGAGGGUGCCCGUAGUCUUGGGAGCCACAGCUGCAGCCUAGCCUGAGUCUUAAGAAGCUUUCCUGACAGCAUGGCCCUGUCCUGGUAGAGAGCCAGCGAGCCCAAAGACUAAUCUCACCCCCAGCAGACAUUGCUUUUUCUCUCUCUCCGUGUACCUUCAGACGUGCAUCCUGGAGUCACCUCUAAGAGCGUUAAGACAGUAUAUUGCAAAGGUCAAGGAUGGGAUAUAUGAAUAUUAGUACACUAAAUUUCAUAACUUCGUUUUCUCCUCAGUUUCUAGCAAAAAUGGUCCUCUGAAGCAGUCACUGGUUUUAUAGGUUUACCAUCAUACCCAUUAUUUCUGUCUUUUUUGUUUGUUUGUUUUUUCGGCCUGCACCCGAGGCAUAUGGAGGUUCCCAGGCUAGGGGUCUAGUCAGAGCUGAAGCUGCCGACCUAUACCACAACCACAGCAACACCAGAUCCCAGACACGUCUGCGACCUACACUGCUGCUCACGGCAACGCUGGCUCCUUAACCCAGUGAGUGGGGCUAGGGAUCGAACCCGAGUCCUCAUGGAUCUUAGUUGGGUUUGUAACCUACUGAGCCCCUAUGGAAACUCCCAUACCUGUUAGUUCUACAUAUUCUUGUAUAAGGGUUGGAUUUCAACUUGGUGAUCUCCCUGCCUGAGGCUUCUCCUGGCUAGAAUCGUAACCUCUCUUACCCUGGUCCUGUUAGUGCUGAAGAGCUUGUGUUGCUGGUCAGAUGAUGGACGUCCCCGCCGCCUUCCCCCCACAACUGAUUUCCACCUCCCUGUCUCAGUGACUGUCUUACUGGCCCCCCAGGAUGGAUCCACGUCUUCUCCACUCCGACCAGCUUCCAUUCAAGUUCUCUUUUCCAAACGAGUCCAGUUCACAUGUCACCCAGCUUAAAAAAAUGAGUGAAACAAAGCAAACCACCCCUGUCUUCUGACUCAGCUGCCUCCCCAAGCUCACUGCCAGUGUUUCUUCUUAACUGCUUGGCCACCAGCCAGACGUCUUUGAAAUUAUGUUUGUUUUCCGGACAGGAUACUCAUUUGGCAAGAAUGAUAGUGAAUAUUUAAAGACUCAGCAGCAUGUACCAAACAACACAUCUAAACUGAAAAGGCUGAUGAUGUGACACCUUGAGCCUUUGUAAAGUUUUCUUUCUUGGUCAAUAUCUAUCAGUUUGUUUAUUCCACAGAUACUUAAAGGAGUGCUUCUUUCAUACCUGGUACUUUGCUUGGCACUACGGUUAUAGUGAUGAAUAGGACAAGCAAGGCCUCUGCUCUCCUGCACCCUGUAUUUGAAGCUGGGGGACCAGCAGUAAACACAUAAAUACAGUUUCAAGUAGAUGAAUGCUGGAGGCAGGCCCAGGUCACAGUGUCAGUGGGUAUAAAGGGCUACUUCGGGUACUGUCAUUUGGGGAUGUUUAACGUUUUAUUAAGUCCUUCCUUGUUUGCACCCCUCCUCUGUAAGUGUGGUAUCAACGCUGGGUUAUUAGUGGCACCAAGCCCAUACGGCAUCUUCAAUUAACUGUGUGUCCUUGGGCCUCGUACAGAACCUUGCCAGGGUCCUAUGUGAACUGGGGAACAAAUAGCUUUGACACCCAUCAGCCCUCUUUCCUGAACCUUAACCUUGCUUGUGAUACAAAUUUUUCUUAGAAUGUACACUCUCGUCUUUCUCCUUGACGUUUGUACCAUUCCACUCAGAUGUGGACUUAGCUGUAACCAGUAAGUUAAUGAAACUUGUACUUAAUUUUAAAUUCAUAAUUUUAUCAUCUUUUUCUUAAAGAAGUUUCCCCAAAUUUGUAAAAGCAUCAUUUUACGAAAUCUGCACCUGCCUCUGAUCUCAACCUACAUUAAAUUUUCAGUUUUCUCAAUUCGGACAGCAGCUCUCAUUAACCAGAACCCAGAACUUGGCUACGCCCCAACUCAUCUUCUCAUGGGCACACGAGAGUCACGUCCAAAGGCUUGGAUUUGUUUAUGAUUUGACUAAAAAGUCACUAGACCACUCAGGGACAUAAAUUCAUACGUUAAAGUGUAGAACAACGUUCUCUGUGAGUUACUGUGUUGAUCCAAUGGUGUGGUUGCUGUGAAAUACCUUUUCAAAUUGUAAGAUGCUUGUGAUAAUCAUCACAGUGUUUUUAGAGAGUUAGGAUGGCACAUAUUUAGGGGAAGGAACUUCUUUGAUUUCUUGCAUCUCUGCUCCCAUCGUUGUGUACCUUCAUCCCUUCUCCUGACAGUGCAGUACGCCCUGAGGACUAAGUGCCAGCACCGUGCGGCUAUCAGCAAUAGAGCGGGAAGCCAAAUGAACAGUGGGCACUGGCCUGAGCUCCCUCUUGUCCAGGGUACAGAGAUGUCACUGCCUGCUUGGCAGUCACAGUCCACACUGAGAGGUGCUGUGAUGGGGCACGGGGGCUCCAAGAAGCACAGGAAGCUCACCUCACCAGGCUGGGGUGUGGUCCUGGGAGGAGAGGGAGUGAGAUCUAACCUGGGACCUGAACCGUGGCUGAGAGUGGGCACAUGGUGCAGAAGAAGGUCCAGUGUGGGUUAGGGAGGGGUGUGCCGGGACUGACCUGAAGAUACAUGGGCCAAGGGGCAGGGGCUUCAUCGGUUCAAAUAGUUGAAAGAAAUGGCACGUGGCUGAGGAGUAAGAUUGGAUUGGGGGGAGGGGGGAUCUUGGGGCAGGGAUGGUGGCGCAGAGGUCUGCAGGGUCUGUGGGACAUCCAGGAAGAGGUGCCCGGGAGCCUUCCCACAGGAUGCCAUAAGCCAGAGGGGUCCAGCUUCAAAAAUCAAGGCUCAUACUCAUUGCAGUAGGAGGCUGUGAAGGCCGUGGGAGGCGAGGUCCGAGAGGGGGCACACGACGGGAGUCUGCAGGAUGGGAGAGUGGAAAGAGGGAAGGGGGGCACACUGGGAACCGCAUUCUGGAAGGAGCAGCACCCAGAGUUCCUGGGCACCUGGGCCCUUCUGUGCCGGAAACCGCUUGGAUUCAGCUGCCUGAUGUUGGUGACCUUGCGGCAAGGGGCUUAAGGCGGACCAGCCUCCCUCAUGGGCAUCUCAUUCUUCUGCUGCCUCACUUUCCUUUGGUCCUGAGGAUGGAGUGAACCUGGGUGGGUGGGGGGCAUGAGAGGAGAGUUGGUCAUGGGGAAGGCGACACCCUCGGCAGGGACUUACAGAUACCCAGGGAAAAGCGGGGCGCGCCACUGCUCUCCCACAUGUAAGUGAGGUAUGAAAUAUGUACGUAUUUAUAAUAUAUGAGAUCCUUUUAUCCACGUUUUUUUAAAGAAGUAUGUAGAGAAGCAAAGGUGACUUUGCUAAAAAUACCUCCCUCCUGUGUAAAUGCAGGGCUGUAUUUAAAACGGUGACAGGCAGCUUAGUUUAAAGCACUGAAGAGAGGUUUGCCUUAUUUUCUUAGAUGCAGCCCUUUUCUGUAGAUCCUAAAAGGCGCUAAUGUGUAGUUUCGGAAUGCCAGGCAAGCGACGACAGCUUUUUCAUUCCCUUAAUUUGUCCCCUUUCUCCUCAUAACGGAAACGAUUCCGGCAGUGGUAAAACAGUCUCGUGUUCUCGUGUGAACGGAAGUCCUGGUGCUGCCUUGUCUGUUACACAGACGCAUGUCAGGCUGAGCCUCAGGUGGUCAUGAGACCAGAGGAUGCUCAGAUGAUGGGGUUGAAGAUUCUUUCUAAAAAGUGGUGUGAACGCCUUGGGAAAGACAAAAGAAAAAAAAAAUAGUGUGAAGAAUUUCUGAUACAUGGAAAGAUGGGAUCACAAUAUAAUGACCCCCAGAGCCAACAUUCACUUUAAUGAAACGUGACCCCACAUUGUGUAAUCUCCCCAAGUUUUCCUUCACACUUGUGCCUCCCUCCCUCUUAGAAGCAGCCGUGCUUUGGAAUUUGUGGAAUUUGUGUUUAUCGAAACCAUAGCAUCUUUUUAUUCUCUCCCCCAGUAAUAUUAAAUUAUGCGAGGUGUGGUUCUCACCGUGUAAGUAGCUGUAAACAUCGUGCUGUGUGUCCUUCUGCAGCUUGCUUUGUUUACCCAGCCAUGCUCAAGGCGCCUGUGUAGCCCACGGUGUAGUCCUUAAGCUUGAAAACCGGGUACAGAACUAUGGUUCACAGCUUCCUCCCCCCGGCUUUAGACAGGCUCAUGCAUCCCACUUCAGGUCAUGGUACAGCUGCCCCUGUAUCCUCUGGUUCUGUAUCCCUGGAUUCAACCAAGCAUGUAUUGAAAAAUAUUAAAAAAUUAAAAAACCCAGAAAGUUCCAAAAAGCAGAACUUGAAUUUGCCCCCGGCAACUAUUUACAGAGCAUUUCCAUUGCAUUUAGGUAUUGUAAGUAAGCCAAGGAUGAUUUCAAGUUUAUGGGAGAAUUGCAGUGGGUUGUAUGGAAACACUAGCCUUUUUAUUGGCGGAACUUGAGCCUUUGCGUGGAUUUUGGUAUCUGAAGAGGGUCCUGGAACCAUGGGAAGCAUGACCCUGAGCCUGGGACCUUCUCCCCUAAGAGAUUCACACAGCGUGCUCCUUGCACCUAACCCCCCUCUCUCCCUGCCACCCCUCAGCCCACCCAACACCGUUCCCCUGCCCAACUGACAUUUCUUUGUAUCACUACGUAUUUUACUUAUUUAUGUUCAUUGCGUGCCUCCCCCCACCCCCAACCAGAAUAUCAGAUUCAUGGGGACAGGACUCUGUUUUGUUCACUGUGGACCCCCACCUCUUAGAACAGUGCUAGACACAUAAUAGCUGCUCACUAAACAGUUAAAUUCAGGAAGCAUUGAAAAUAAAACGUAAACUUACAAAGGAGAGUUCUCCAUCCAUCUUUAGCACUUCAUUUAGUGGAUGUGGUUUUGUUCAAAAUGAUUUAACGUUGCAUUAUAGCUAGUUAUAACCUUAAGACAUGGGGCUCCCUGAUGAGAAAUGCUUGUCUGUGUGGCCUGAGGGUCUUGCUGGGAUGCGCAGGAGGUGGUGUGUGUGCCAGGUCAAAACCUGCCUUCGCUGAGCGCUGAGUUCAGCCGUGCUUCCCAGGGUGACAGGUUCCAAUCAUUUUCAAUUAAUUAGGACCUGGGAUUCUUCAUGCUCAUUAGAGUGUAGUUGACCUUUCCCCCGCCCCCAGAAUUAACACUUCACAGUGUCAGCACCUUCCCAGACAUGGGAUGUGGCCGGCCCUCUUCUUGCCUUUCCAUUUUUAGCACCGUCUAAGGUAAACAGGUGUGUUUUUUUUUUUUUUCUUUCCUCACCAAUGAAUAUUCCAUUUUCUUGUAAUUUGGAAAAUAAUGUGUGCGCUUCUAAUUUUCACUCUCUGUAUUCAGUGCUGAGAAAAUCAAAGUAUGGUUGGUUUUCAAUCCUGAGCUCUUUCAGUAAACAUCAAGGAGAUAAGUGAGGUUUUGAUUAGGUGUGCAUUCUAAUCAAAGACAAAUGAAUGAUAAUUUUUCACUCGGGCUCCUCUAGAAAAUUAUCCUGAUGUAUAAGGGUAGACAGUGGGUUAUCCUCCUGGCCAAAUCAUUUAUAACUUGGUUUUGAAGAAUUUCUUAUCCAUAAGAAAAUUUUCAUGGCUGCUCUUUUCUGUUUCUUGUUUGUUUUUUGUCUUGUUUUUAUUAAAGUACGGUUGAUUUACAAUGCUGUGCCAAUUUCAGCUGUACAGCACAGUGACCCAGAGACACGCGCGUACACACACACACACACUCUGUACUGUAGGACCACAUUGCUUAUCCAUUCUUAAUGUCUGUUUCUUUAUAGAAAAUUAAACUUUUCUCUGAAUCUGAGUAUCAUGUCUUAACUUCAGGAGGGUGGAGAUCUGGAAUUUCUCUUUAGCUCCAGGUAGUCAGGAAGCACUGGUGAAAAUGAAUAGUCUCUCUUCAUUGAUGAAGUUGUUUUUAGUUAUGCUUUCUUCUCGGUGUCAGUGGUGACUUGUUCUUGGAUGAGCCUUUGGGAUCAGUGUUAAGAGUUGAAUGUGUCUGGUUGGCAAAGGGUGUUGAUUGAGCGGUAAAGAAGGUAUCCACUUAGAUUUUCUCUAAUAACUGAAGAUCCCGGAGGCCUGAGGUGCCAUCGUCUUUCCUUGUAAAUUGCUCCAGUGCGUGACCUGCACCAAUAGUUCUGACCAAGAUGUGCAGGCGCCCCACCUUUUGGGAUCCAUCUAUCUGUAGCUUCUCUGGUUUUAGGAGGUCUGAUAACAACCAUUAUUCAAUUUGAAGCCAUUAUUGCUCAGCCUAGCCAGUCAGGAUUCUGUCUCAGGCCCAGAUCAGCAGAUUUGAUGUUCUAAAGCUCCUUUUGAAGAGUCUGUAAUGACGGAAAUAAUUGUUUUUAUGGCUUUCUAGUGAAAUGGAAUUGCCCGAUGCAGUCUUGUUUCUUGGCGUUCUUUUAUCUGCUUCUGAAAAGAGGAUGAGGUGGAAAAAUAUUUCAGUGAAAUAUCAGCAGCAUUACCAUCCUCAUAAACGUUAAAUGUUCAUUAGGGAGUUCCUGUUGUGGUUCAGCGGGUUAUAAACCCACCCAGUAGCCAUGAGGACAUAGGUUUGAUCCCUGGCCUUGCUCAGUGGAUUAGGAUGUGGCGUUGCCAUGAGCUGUAGUGUACGUCGCAGAUGUGGCUCUGAUCUGGUGUUGCUGUGGCUGUGGUGUAGGCCAGCAGCUGCAGCUCUGAUCCGACCCCUAGCCUGGAAACUUACAUAUACCUCGGGUGUGACCCUAUGUGCACUGACUGUUUCUCCUAUAGAAGGUAUCCUCUUCAAAGAUGUAUGAAGGACCACGUACUGACUUUAAUGCAUCGGCCUGAUAAAGGAAAGAUGACUGAGUGGAAUUGAGGCUGUCUAUCAGGUGAGGGAUUCUGUGAUAACAGAGGAGCUAGGAGGCCUGUGCCUUCUGAGAUCAUUCUCCUGGGAGUUCCCACUGUGGCUCAGUAUGAACCUGACUACUUUCCAUGAGGACGCAGGUUUGAUCCCUGGCCUUGCUCAGUGGGUUAAGGAUCCGGCGUUGCCACGAACUGUGGUGUAGGUCGAAGAUAUGGCUCAGAUCUAGUGUUGCUGUGGCUGUGGUAGCUCCAGCAGCAGCUGUAGCUCGGAUUAGAUCCCUAGCCUGGGAGCCUUCAUAUGC
Molecule: long non-coding RNA, 8255 nt
Filed under: Sus scrofa (pig)
Lineage: Eukaryota; Metazoa; Chordata; Mammalia; Artiodactyla; Suidae
Description: lncRNA (ENSSSCG00015037699.1)
Source: RNAcentral